CAGUUCGGUCCCUAUCUGUUGUGGGCGUUUGAAGUUUGAGAGGACCUGACUCUAGUACGAGAGGACCGAGUUGGACAUACCUCUGGUGUAUCUGUUGUGGCGCCAGCUGCAGCGCAGAGUAGCUAUGUAUGGAUGAGAUAAGCACUGAAAGCAUCUAAGUACGAAACUCACCUCAAGAUUAGACUUCAUUGAGAGACGUUAUAGACGAUGACGUUGAUAGGUCGCAAGUGUAAAGGCAGUAAUGUCAAAGCUGAGCGAUACUAAUUACUCGAAAGCUUAUUCAA
This 284-nucleotide ribosomal RNA is filed under the name Flavobacteriales bacterium. RNAcentral's name for it is "partial 23S ribosomal RNA". It matches the Rfam family "Bacterial large subunit ribosomal RNA", at positions 2627 to 2925 of the family's 2925-position model. The record is from RNAcentral. Lineage: Bacteria; Pseudomonadati; Bacteroidota; Flavobacteriia; Flavobacteriales.